This 621-nucleotide ribosomal RNA is filed under the name uncultured bacterium. Its description in RNAcentral is "bacterial SSU rRNA". It matches the Rfam family "Bacterial small subunit ribosomal RNA", at positions 338 to 948 of the family's 1533-position model. The record is from RNAcentral.
CCUACGGGAGGCAGCAGUGGGGAAUAUUGGACAAUGGGCGGAAGCCUGAUCCUGCCAUGCCGCGUGUGUGAAGAAGGCCUUUUGGUUGUAAAGCACUUUAAGCGAGGAGGAGGCUACUAGUACUAAUACUACUGGAUAGUGGACGUUACUCGCAGAAUAAGCACCGGCUAACUCUGUGCCAGCAGCCGCGGUAAUACAGAGGGUGCGAGCGUUAAUCGGAUUUACUGGGCGUAAAGCGUGCGUAGGCGGCUUUUUAAGUCGGAUGUGAAAUCCCCGAGCUUAACUUGGGAAUUGCAUUCGAUACUGGGAAGCUAGAGUAUGGGAGAGGAUGGUAGAAUUCCAGGUGUAGCGGUGAAAUGCGUAGAGAUCUGGAGGAAUACCGAUGGCGAAGGCAGCCAUCUGGCCUAAAUACUGACGCUGAGGUACGAAAGCAUGGGGAGCAAACAGGAUUAGAUACCCUGGUAGUCCAUGCCGUAAACGAUGUCUACUAGCCGUUGGGGCCUUUUGAGGCUUUAGUGGCGCAGCUAACGCGAUAAGUAGACCGCCUGGGGGAGUACGGUCGCAAGACUUAAAACUCAAAGGAAUUGACGGCUUGAGACGNGCGAGGAGACACAGGGAGAG